UGAGUGGAGAGUCAUUUUUGAGCAACUUGGGUGAGUCUUGUGAAACCAAAAGAGAAGAUCCUUAGGAAAUCAAAGCUAAGGGUUGGUUCUCUUUUGGGGGUUAGAUUCUAGAGUUGGGAAACAAUUGUAAACACCUUGGGAGAGUGAAAAUCAUGAGUGUCUUGUUCAUUGGUGAGAUUGGGAAAAUGGGUAGAAAUUAG
This 200-nucleotide long non-coding RNA is filed under the name Medicago truncatula (barrel medic). Its description in RNAcentral is "long non-coding RNA (MTRU_LNC004248)". The record is from RNAcentral. Lineage: Eukaryota; Viridiplantae; Streptophyta; Magnoliopsida; Fabales; Fabaceae.